CAAUAGCGUAUAUUAAAGUUGUUGCGGUUAAAAAGCUCGUAGUUGGAUUUCUGCUGAGAACGACCGGUCCGCCCUUUGGGUGUGUAUCUGGCUCUUUCUUGGCAUCUUCUUGGUGAACGUUGCUGCACUUGACUGUGUGGAGCGCUACCCAGGACUUUUACUUUGAGGAAAUUAGAGUGUUUCAAGCAGGCAUACGCCUUGAAUACAUUAGCAUGGAAUAAUAAGAUAGGACCUCGGUUCUAUUUUGUUGGUUUCUAGAGCUGAGGUAAUGAUUAAUAGGGAUAGUUGGGGGCACCUGUAUUGCGUUGUCAGAGGUGAAAUUCUUGGAUUUACGCAAGACAAACAGCUGCGAAAGCGUCUGCCAAGGAUGUUUUCAUUAA
This 380-nucleotide ribosomal RNA is filed under the name uncultured eukaryote. Its description in RNAcentral is "partial 18S ribosomal RNA". It matches the Rfam family "Eukaryotic small subunit ribosomal RNA", at positions 592 to 976 of the family's 1831-position model. The record is from RNAcentral.